GGGAGAAUGGGGCAGCCGUUACGACUUAUCUCUGGAAAAACAGCUUUGUCUUGUAUAAAAUGGCAUUGCUCAGGUUCUAACUCUAGGCCAGCUGUAGCACACUGGGCAUGGGGUGGCAGGGCUGG
Cebus imitator (Panamanian white-faced capuchin) is the source of this 125-nucleotide long non-coding RNA. RefSeq lists it as uncharacterized. The record is from RefSeq and is a predicted model, not a curated record. The transcript is spliced from 3 exons. NCBI's taxonomy places the organism in Eukaryota, Metazoa, Chordata, Mammalia, Primates, Cebidae.